CUCUUCUUGUAUUUAUUUGAAGUAUAACCUGCCCACUGAUUAAAUUUGAAGGGCCGCGGUAUUUUGACCGUGCAAAGGUAGCAUAAUCAUUAGUCUUUUAAUUGAAGACUGGAAUGAAUGGUUGGACGAGAAAUAUACUGUUUCUUGAAAAUUGAUAGUUGAAUUUAAAAUUUAAGUUAAAAUGCUUAAAUUUUUUUUUGGGACGAGAAGACCCUAUAGAGUUUAAUAUUUUUUAUUAUUACUUUGUUUGUUUAAAUUUUUAUAAUAUAAUUUAUUUUGUUGGGGUGAUGAUUAGAUUAAAUAAACUCUUAUUUUUAUAUUUUCAUUUAUUUAUGUUUUUUUGAUCCAUAUUUUUUGAUUAUAAGACUAAAUUACCUUAGGGAUAACAGCGUAA
This 394-nucleotide ribosomal RNA is filed under the name Macrocerca sp. W14. Its description in RNAcentral is "partial large subunit ribosomal RNA". Lineage: Eukaryota; Metazoa; Arthropoda; Insecta; Blattodea; Blattidae. The record is from RNAcentral.